AUACAAAAUGACUCUCGGCAACGGAUAUCUCGGCUCUUGCAUCGAUGAAGAACGUAGCGAAAUGCGAUACUUGGUGUGAAUUGCAGAAUCCCGUGAACCAUCGAGUUUUUGAACGCAAGUUGCGCCCAAAGCCAUUAGGCUGAGGGCACGCCUGCCUGGGUGUCACAC
RNAcentral lists this ribosomal RNA (168 nucleotides) under Urodon capitatus. RNAcentral describes it as "5.8S ribosomal RNA". It matches the Rfam family "5.8S ribosomal RNA". From Rfam's summary of the family: 5.8S ribosomal RNA (5.8S rRNA) is a component of the large subunit of the eukaryotic ribosome. It is transcribed by RNA polymerase I as part of the 45S precursor that also contains 18S and 28S rRNA. Functionally, it is thought that 5.8S rRNA may be involved in ribosome translocation. Lineage: Eukaryota; Viridiplantae; Streptophyta; Magnoliopsida; Fabales; Fabaceae. The record is from RNAcentral.